AUUGGGAAGGAAUUGUUGUCUGUGAGGGUGGAGAGGCCCUGGCACAGGUUGCCCAGAGAAGCUGUGGCUGCCCCAUCCCUGGAAGUGUUCCAGGCCAUGUUGGACGGGGCUUGGAGCAACCUGGGCUAGUGGGAGGUGUCCCUGCCCACAACAGGGGGUUGGAAUGAGAUGAGCCUUAAGAUUCCUUCCAACCCAUCCCAUUCUGUGAUUCUGUGACACACAGACUCACUGUGGUAAGAUGUGUGUUACACCAGUCUUAAAAACACUGAUUUAGUUACUUAAUUCAGGUUUGUUACAGCUUGUGGAGUUUCCAGCACUGCACAUCCCAAAUUGGUGCUGGCACCAUCCAGGAUGGUCUCUCUCUUGACAUGAAAAACACUUGUGAUGCCCCAGCAAGGAACCAGACUGGGGUUUGGGAGACCGAAGUCCUGGCCCUACCACUGCCACAGGUUUGCUGGUGUCAUCUCAAACCCUGAUUUAUGACACAUCCUGUCAGGCUGUAACUGCCCUCAGCCAACUCUACCUGAGGCUUCCUCUUGGCCAGCUGUGAUGGUGGGAGCAGAAGAGCAGGAAACACCGAUGUGGGACUGGUGAACACCUGAACAUUCCCCACUGAACUGUUUUGUGUCCCAGGGCUGCUUCCUGGUGUUCAGCAGUUUCCAUCUCUUGGGGCAGAUGGAGCAGCAACCCAGUGUGACACACGUGUGUGGGUGCAGAAGCGACACCAGUCACUCACAGAGGGAAGAUGAGACCUGGCUGUGAUCAGUGGGAGGUUCUCCUGUGCUGCCAACUCGAUGUGACACCUCCCUGUGCCCGGGCACAGCCCGUGUCACAUCUGCUGGGGAUGAUGAGCAUCAGGGUCAAACCAGUUCAGCACCACAGGGAGAAGAUGUUUCUCCUUUUCACAUCCCGUGUGGCUGAGCUGUCACAUCAAGGCCAAGUUCAGUCUCCCUCCCUGGCAACUCUUUGUGGAUGUUGUGGCACAUGUGGACACAGCAGGAGCUCGGACACUUUGCUCAUCAGGGCUGAGGGACAUAAGGCCAUACAAAAUCCAGGCAAAACUCCACUUCCUUAUUAACCUGUCUCUGGGCAGUGGCAAAAGCUUCUGGAAAAAACAGGAAUACAGCCUGGGAUACCUUUGUGGGACUCCCUUGUAGUGGGCCCACAAGGAAUCCUGAGAGGGAGCCUUCGUCAGGAACUGUGGUGAGAGGACAAGGAGUAAUGGGCUCAAAUUAAAAGAGGGGACAUUUAGGUUGGAUAUGUGGGAGAAAUUCUUCCCUGCGAGGGUGGGGAGGCCCUGGCACAGGUUGCCCAGAGAAGCUGUGGCUGCCCCAUCCCUGGGAGUGUUCAAGGCCAGGUUGGAUGGGGCUUGGAGCAACCUGGGAGAGGGAAUGUGUCACGACCUGCAGGCAGUGCUCUUCCUAAUGGUCAGGGACACUGCUGGAUCAUGGAUAGCUUGUUGUCCACCAGGACCUCCAGGUCCUUCUCCUUCCUUCUCCCCCAGUCAGAUGGAAAAUUCUUCUCCCUCCAAGGAGGAAUUCUUUAAGGGAUCCAAGAGCACAUUUCUGAGAGUUAUAAUGGCAGAAAGGUGUUUGAGUAUUCAAAAACAUUAAAUCCAGAGCUCCAUCAUGAAGAUGAUAGAAGGGGAAAGUCCCCUAAGACCACAAUCUACUGUGCUAAUUAAUGAAGGCAAGACUUCAGGAAUAAAUCAAGAAUUAGACAUUUGCUUUUCUACGUGGAGGUAGAUGAAAAAGCAGAAGCUGGAAGGUGUUUUAUCUCCUCUCUUCAACACAGUGAACAGUUUAAGACCUGUUUGCGGGCAGGAACUGAGCAAGAUGGAAAGAGUAUUAUCUGCAGAACACUGUGAAAUUCAACAGACUUCCAGAAAAGAUAGGCAAGGUUUCAAAAAAUAUGGUUAAAUGGGAACUCCAUGUCAAAGGAGGAGGUUGGUUUGCUUUCCAGGAGCACCUUCAGAUUCAAAGUGCUGCAGAGAGGGAGGGUAAACACGACUCAAGCACAAAUAAUUUUUAAAAUGGAGCCUGAUAAGCUCAGCACCACACAAAAAAGGCUCCAUUGUGUGAAUAACAAUCGAGUGGGUCCAGCAAACAGAUGUGACCCACACUUCACAAAUAUAAUUACUGCACUGGGCUUCCUUGUGCCUCAGUGUUCUGCUUAUAACAAAUGGCCUUGAAAAACAGCAUUUUUAUAGAGAGGGGUUUGUUUGCAGAGCUCUGUGAGCUCCUCCUCUGCUCCUUGCUGUGCUGGGGCGGGUUUUGCUCAUCACUCAGGGAACCCAACAAAGAGCAUAAAAGCAACCACAGCAAAUCAAGCAAAGGUUGUCCCAGUCCAGUUUCUUUGUCUCUACCAGCAGCUCUUUCCCCACAGAACUCUUGCAGACCUCUGUGAUCUCCAGCUGAAGGACUUUCUGUAUAUUCACAGUCACUCCUCAUUAAGGUUUUUCUCCUCCCCAAACUCAACCCAUGUGCUUUUGAAACUCGGGUGAGUUUGUAGCAUCCACACUGGAUAGUAUCCAUCCAUCCCAUGUAAUUUUGUGCCCUCUAAUUACAGUAGCUAAGCUGUUACAUAACCAUCCCAACAUCCCUGCCAAGGGGUGGAAUUCAUAAGCAGGAGGCAACGGGGAAAAAAAAAAGAAAGAAAGAGCUUACAAACACCUCUGUGGCAAAGCUAAUCUUAUCUCAAAGCCUUUGUUCCUAGGGGAGUUAAUGUUUGGGGUUGUGAAAGAUAGAUGUGUUUGGAAUAAGGGGAAAAAGAACAUGUAGAAACAUUGUUUGCUGGAAGUACAGCUCAGCAGAAGGAAGGAGGAGAAGGAUCUGGAAGGUCUUUCCACAAAUGCUGUUGGCAAUGAGGAUGAACUCAGGGACAGGAGGAUUUGAUCAGCUUCCAUCUGAAGACUUUCUGUGGCCCAUCAAAGCACUGAUCCAUCAAACACAGAGUUCUGUUUGCCCUCACCUUGUCCCCUUUGUCCUUUCAGAGGACAUCCUACUGAUCCCUAACUCUGGUCCCCUGAGAAUGGGAACAACACACCAGCUUCCCCUUCUGGUAGCACCUUAUGUUGUCAGAAGUCACCUUCUCCCUCAGCCAGAAACAGCAGGAGAACCUAAAUGGCCUUCAAGGUCCCUUCCAACCCAAGCCAUUCAAUGAUUCUAUGAUUCUAACCAUGAUUUAGGAGUGGGAUUCCUAGGCUGCAAAACUCUAUCACAGCAGGAGGCUGCUGGGAGAUUUAGGAAGUGUGACACGGGAUCAGAUCUAAUUCCAAAGACUUUGCACAAACUGCUCCAGGCUCUCUAAUCCCUCCUGGUCACUCGUUAAGAGCUCCCUUAAGAAAUUCCUGCUCCCUACAGCUUUGCUGGAUGUCUAAGAAGUCGGGCAGUGCCUGGAAUGCAUCGGGAUCCUUGGCCAGGACCCCACAAGAAGCGUGCAGAGUGGUCCUUGCUGCCUCCAGAAAGUGUGGGGUGGGGAGGGACCUUAAAGUUCGUCUCAUUCCAACCCCCUGCAAAGAUCAGGGACACCUUCCACCAUCCCAGGGUGCUCCAA
Molecule: long non-coding RNA, 3555 nt
Organism: Myiozetetes cayanensis
Lineage: Eukaryota; Metazoa; Chordata; Aves; Passeriformes; Tyrannidae
Exons: 4
Source: RefSeq, a predicted model, not a curated record